CCUGACCCUAGAGACACUGCAGGUACAGCUGCUGUGUUAUAUGUGGGCCAGUAGGUGGCAGAGAGGAGAGAGGCUAAGCUCAGACUUCAGACCUGUGAAUGACUGAAUGAUUAGUAGUCUAACAUU
Molecule: small nucleolar RNA, 126 nt
Organism: Rattus norvegicus (Norway rat)
Lineage: Eukaryota; Metazoa; Chordata; Mammalia; Rodentia; Muridae
Product: small nucleolar RNA SNORA17
Source: Ensembl